CGACGUGAGCAAUCUGCCUUUAAGAGGGGGAUAACAGUCGGAAACGGCUGCUAAUACCGCAUAAAGCAUCAAAUUCGCAUGUUUUUGAUGCCAAAGGAGCAAUCCGCUUUUAGAUGAGCUCGCGUCUGAUUAGCUGGUUGGCGGGGUAACGGCCCACCAAGGCGACGAUCAGUAGCCGGACUGAGAGGAUGAACGGCCACAUUGGGACUGAGACACGGCCCAG
This 223-nucleotide ribosomal RNA is filed under the name uncultured bacterium. RNAcentral describes it as "partial 16S ribosomal RNA". It matches the Rfam family "Bacterial small subunit ribosomal RNA", at positions 113 to 334 of the family's 1533-position model. The record is from RNAcentral.